CGGUUGAUCCUGCCGGAGGACAUUGCUAUUGGGAUUCGAUUUAGCCAUGCUAGUCGAACGAGUUCACACUCGUGGCACAUAGCUCAGUAACACGUGGCCAAGCUACCCUUCAGUCGGCAAUACCCUCGGGAAACUGAGGCUAAUAGCCGAUACGAAACAGACGCUGGAAUGCACUGUAUUCCAAAGACAUCGCUGAAGGAUGCGACUGCGGCCGAUUAGGUAGACGGUGGGGUAACGGCCCACCGUGCCAGUAAUCGGUACGGGUGAUGAGAGUCAGAGCCCGGAGACGGAAUCUGAGACAAGAUUCCGGGCCCUACGGGGCGCAGCAGGCGCGAAACCUUUACACUGCACGAAAGUGCGAUAGGGGAAUCCCAAGUGCGAGGGCAUAUUAGCCCUCGCUUUUGUUGACUCUAAGGCGGUCAACGAAUAAGAGCUGGGCAAGACCGGUGCCAGCCGCCGCGGUAAUACCGGCAGCUCAAGUGAUGUCCCAUAUUAUUGGGCCUAAAGCGUCCGUAGCUGGCCGCGCAAGUCCGUCGGGAAAUCCACCUGCCCAACAGGUGGGCGUCCGGCGGAAACUGUGUGGCUUGGAACCGGAAGGCUCAGAGAGUACGUCCGGGGUAGGAGUGAAAUCCCGUAAUCCCGGACGGACUACCGAUGGCGAAAGCACUCUGAGAAGACGGCUUCGACAGUGAGGGACGAAAGCUCGGGUCUCAAACCGGAUUAGAUACCCCGGUAGUC
Molecule: ribosomal RNA, 738 nt
Filed under: uncultured haloarchaeon
Lineage: Archaea; Methanobacteriati; Methanobacteriota; Halobacteria; Halobacteriales; Halobacteriaceae
Description: bacterial SSU rRNA
Rfam family: Archaeal small subunit ribosomal RNA
Source: RNAcentral